GGCUUCUCAAUGCCGCCAAGCGGCUCGCACAGUCACCUCCCCUCCGCAGGGCGAGACACAGCCAUGAGGUUGUCUGUCUGUUGAGCUGAGAGUCAGUCACAGAAAAGCCAGAAAGUGGGGAGGAGGGAGGGUGCCGCUGAAUAUAAACCCCUUCGUUUAUAGAUACGGAACCUGAGGCCCAGAGAGGAGAAGAGACCUGCCCAAGGAUACACAGCGGACUAGAGGCAGAGGAAUGGCUGUUCAGCAGAGGUCACGCACUCAGGACAGGAAGAGGAGGUACAGGAGGGACCAGGACUGCUCGCUGCAGAGGCCAGCCACCCACAGGGCGGGGGGCGUCUGUCCGUACGCUGGAGAAGGACUGGAUGGCAGGGUUGAGCCAGCCUGGAUGCACAAGUGAACACAUGCACUAAAGAGGAGCGUGUGGACUGGUGGGCCAGUAAAUCUGCAUCUGUCUCAAUGGGGGCAUGGAUCCUGACUGGACGGUGGAGUGAACAAGAGAACGAGAAGGAAUGACCCUGAGGACAGAAGAGAGAGGGAAGCCUGCGGGACAAGCUGGAGGUCUCCCCCGCUGUCUCAUUCAGUCUGUGCUACUGCCCUGUGGGAGAGCUCCAUCCUCAACCUCGCCUCAUCCCCGAGGGAGCUGUCCUCACACUUCACAAUGACCUGUGCUCACUGAUGGUUUCUCUGCUGGACUGAAGCACUAUGAAGGUGGAACCUUGGCUCUCUU
RNAcentral lists this long non-coding RNA (727 nucleotides) under Equus caballus (horse). Its description in RNAcentral is "lncRNA (ENSECAG00000041492.2)". The record is from RNAcentral. Lineage: Eukaryota; Metazoa; Chordata; Mammalia; Perissodactyla; Equidae.